RNAcentral lists this long non-coding RNA (363 nucleotides) under Gossypium barbadense (sea-island cotton). RNAcentral's name for it is "long non-coding RNA (GBAR_LNC007578)". Lineage: Eukaryota; Viridiplantae; Streptophyta; Magnoliopsida; Malvales; Malvaceae. The record is from RNAcentral.
UACGCAAUGAUGCAAUGGGUGGAGACUACCCAUCAAAGCCAAUGUCUUUGUAUGCAACAAUUUGGGAUGCCUCUAGCUGGGCCACCAACGGAGGAAAAUAUAAAGUUAAUUAUGAAUAUGCCCCUUUCACUUCCGAGUUUAAAGACCUAGUCCUUGAUGGUUGCGCCAUCGAUCCCAUCCAGAAAUUCCCCAACUCCACUGCCUGCUCCGAGACAGAUACCUGGCUCGAGAGCCGUGACUAUGCCAUCAUAACACCGAAAAGCCGAUCCGCCAUGCGAAGAUUCAGGCAGCGUUACAUGUACUAUUCAUAUUGUUAUGACAAUGUGCGUUACCCUAUAACCCCUCCCGAGUGCGCAGUUGAUU